Molecule: ribosomal RNA, 384 nt
Filed under: Micromonas sp.
Lineage: Eukaryota; Viridiplantae; Chlorophyta; Mamiellophyceae; Mamiellales; Mamiellaceae
Description: partial small subunit ribosomal RNA
Rfam family: Eukaryotic small subunit ribosomal RNA
Source: RNAcentral
AUUCCAGCUCCAAUAGCGUAUAUUUAAGUUGUUGCAGUUAAAAAGCUCGUAGUUGGAUUUCGGUUGAGAGCGGCCGGUCCGCCGUUUGGUGUGCACUGGCUGGUUUCAGCUUCCUGCAGAGGACGCGCUCUGGGCUUAAUCGUCUGGACGUGGAGUCUGCGUGGUUACUUUGAAAAAAUUAGAGUGUUCAAGGCGGGCUUACGCUUGAAUAUUUCAGCAUGGAAUAACACUAUAGGACUCCUGUCCUAUUUCGUUGGUCUCGGGACGGGAGUAAUGAUUAAGAGGAACAGUUGGGGGCAUUCGUAUUUCAAUGUCAGAGGUGAAAUUCUUGGAUUUUUGAAAGACGAACUUCUGCGAAAGCAUUUGCCAAGGAUGUUUUCAUCA